GAUGAACGCUGGCGGCGUGCCUAAUACAUGCAAGUCGAGCGAACGGACGAGAAGCUUGCUUUUCUGAUGUUAGCGGCGGACGGGUGAGUAACACGUGGAUAACCUACCUAUAAGACUGGGAUAACUUCGGGAAACCGGAGCUAAUACCGGAUAAUAUUUUGAACCGCAUGGUUCAAAAGUGAAAGACGGUCUUGCUGUCACUUAUAGAUGGAUCCGCGCUGCAUUAGCUAGUUGGUAAGGUAACGGCUUACCAAGGCAACGAUGCAUAGCCGACCUGAGAGGGUGAUCGGCCACACUGGAACUGAGACACGGUCCAGACUCCUACGGGAGGCAGCAGUAGGGAAUCUUCCGCAAUGGGCGGAAGCCUGACGGAGCAACGCCGCGUGAGUGAUGAAGGUCUUCGGAUCGUAAAACUCUGUUAUUAGGGAAGAACAUAUGUGUAAGUAACUGUGCACAUCUUGACGGUACCUAAUCAGGAAGCCACGGCUAACUACGUG
This 497-nucleotide ribosomal RNA is filed under the name uncultured bacterium. Its description in RNAcentral is "partial 16S ribosomal RNA". It matches the Rfam family "Bacterial small subunit ribosomal RNA", at positions 28 to 507 of the family's 1533-position model. The record is from RNAcentral.